AUUGAACGCUGGCGGCAUGCCUUACACAUGCAAGUCGAACGGCAGCACGGGGGCGAACCCUGGUGGCGAGUGGCGAACGGGUGAGUAAUGCAUCGGAACGUGCCCAGUAGUGGGGAGUAACUAGUCGAAAGAUUAGCUAAUACCGCAUACGACCUAUGGGUGAAAGCGGGGGAGUUCGCAAGAACCUCGCGCUAUCGGAGCGGCCGAUGUCUGAUUAGCUAGUUGGCGGGGUAAAAGCCCACCAAGGCUUCGAUCAGUAGCUGGUCUGAGAGGACGACCAGCCACACUGGGAC
This 293-nucleotide ribosomal RNA is filed under the name uncultured bacterium. RNAcentral describes it as "partial 16S ribosomal RNA". It matches the Rfam family "Bacterial small subunit ribosomal RNA", at positions 30 to 319 of the family's 1533-position model. The record is from RNAcentral.